Molecule: transfer RNA, 68 nt
Filed under: Pseudotriton ruber (red salamander)
Lineage: Eukaryota; Metazoa; Chordata; Amphibia; Caudata; Plethodontidae
Description: tRNA-Ala
Rfam family: tRNA
About the family: Transfer RNA (tRNA) molecules are approximately 80 nucleotides in length. Their secondary structure includes four short double-helical elements and three loops (D, anti-codon, and T loops).
Source: RNAcentral
GAAGACCUUAGCUUAAUUAAAGUGUCUGAGUUGCAUUCAGAAUAUGUGAGUUAAUCUUGCAGGUCUUA